This 323-nucleotide ribosomal RNA is filed under the name uncultured Lactobacillus sp. RNAcentral describes it as "bacterial SSU rRNA". It matches the Rfam family "Bacterial small subunit ribosomal RNA", at positions 222 to 525 of the family's 1533-position model. Lineage: Bacteria; Bacillati; Bacillota; Bacilli; Lactobacillales; Lactobacillaceae. The record is from RNAcentral.
GGAUGGGACCUGCGAUGCAUUAGCUAGUUGGUAAGGUAACGAGCUUACCAAGGCGAUGAUGCAUAGCCCGAGUUGAGAGACUGAUCGGGCCACAUUGGGACUGAGACACGGGCCCAAACUCCUACGGGAGGCAGCAGUAGGGGAAUCUUCCACAAUGGCGAAAAGUCUGAUGGAGCAAACGCCGCGUGAGUGAAGAAGGUUUUCGGAUCGUAAAAAGCUCUGUUGUUGGUGAAGAAGGAUAGAGGUAGUAACUGGCCCUUUAUUUGACGGUAAUCAACCCAGAAAGUCACGGGCUAACUACGUGCCCAGCAGCCGCGGUAAAU